AGCAGCCGCGGUAAUUCCAGCUCCAAUAGCGUAUAUUAAAGUUGUUGCAGUUAAAAAGCUCGUAGUUGAAUUUCGGGAUCAAUUUAUUGGUCGUGCUAUUGUACGUACUGGUAUUAUUGAUUCCUACCUUCUGACGAACCAUGAUGUCAUUAAUUUGGUGUCAUGGGGAAUCAGGACUGUUACUUUGAAAAAAUUAGAGUGUUUAAAGCAGGCUCACGCUUGAAUACAUUAGCAUGGAAUAACGAAAUAGGACGUUUGAUUCUAUUUUGUUGGUUUCUAGGACCGACGUAAUGAUUAAUAGGGAUAGUUGGGGGCAUUAGUAUUCAAUUGUCAGAGGUGAAAUUCUUGGAUUUAUUGAAGACUAACUACUGCGAAAGCAUUUGCCAAGGAUGUUUUCAUUAAUCAAGAACGAAAGUUAGGGAUCGAAGACGAUCAGAUACCGUCGUAGUC
RNAcentral lists this ribosomal RNA (450 nucleotides) under uncultured Glomeromycotina. RNAcentral's name for it is "SSU rRNA". It matches the Rfam family "Eukaryotic small subunit ribosomal RNA", at positions 569 to 1025 of the family's 1831-position model. The record is from RNAcentral. Lineage: Eukaryota; Fungi; Glomeromycota.